GACGAACGCUGGCGGCGUGCUUAACACAUGCAAGUCGAACGGUGAAGCGCCUUCCUUUUUGGUGGGUGUGGAUGAGUGGCGAACGGGUGAGUAACACGUGAGUAACCUGCCCCCUUCUUCUGGAUAACCGCAUGAAAGUGUGGCUAAUACGGAAUAUUCUGGGUCUGUCGCAUGAUGGGUCUGGGAAAGAUAUUGUUUCGGUGGGGGAUGGGCUCGCGGCCUAUCAGCUUGUUGGUGGGGUGAUGGCCUACCAAGGCGGUGACGGGUAGCCGGCCUGAGAGGGUGGACGGUCACACUGGGACUGAGACACGGCCCAGACUCCUACGGGAGGCAGCAGUGGGGAAUAUUGCACAAUGGGCGCAAGCCUGAUGCAGCGACGCCGCGUGAGGGAUGGAGGCCUUCGGGUUGUGAACCUCUUUCGCCAGUGAAGCAGGCCUGCCUCGUUUGUGGGUGGGUUGACGGUAGCUGGAUAAGAAGCGCCGGCUAACUACGU
RNAcentral lists this ribosomal RNA (493 nucleotides) under uncultured bacterium. Its description in RNAcentral is "partial 16S ribosomal RNA". It matches the Rfam family "Bacterial small subunit ribosomal RNA", at positions 28 to 506 of the family's 1533-position model. The record is from RNAcentral.